AUCACUCCAGGAAGUCACAUAAUCUUUUUUGUUGUAAGUGGAGCUAGAGCCUUGCUCCCAGUCUGGGGCUCAGCACCCAGAGCUGUCUGGCUGGGUUUACCUGCGGGGCAGUGGGCAUUUCCUGCAUCUAGGGACUGCAGAGCAUGUGGGUGGGAGCUCCCAGGCUCAGAAAGCCCGACUGGUUGGUUCCAGCCUGGGCAUGUGGCCCUCGCUCCCUGGCAGGCGUUCCACGAAGAGGUAUUUUUGGAAGGUGCAGGAAUUCUGUAGCCAUUUGGAAAAUGCCUGCUCAUAGGCUAGGCUGGAUUUUCAUUUUAAAAUGCUGAUGUGGCCGAGGGGCCUGACCUGGCCACUUUUCCUGGAUCUAGGGGUGGGGAAAGUGCAGAGGCAUGCUCUUUUCUUUUCCUUUUCUUUAAAUUGUAUCACCAUUUUCUAUCUGUCUCACAUCCCUCUGUCCCACAAGCUUCAAGAGCACUGUGCGGUGUCACCUGGGACUUUGAUGCUAUUUGUAGGUUGUUUUGCUGGCAUAUCAUUUUUCAUAGUAAUUUCUUAUAAUCCUUUGUAUGUCUGCAGUGUUGUUAUUUGUCCUCUUUCAUUUUUCAUUUUAUGUAUAUUUUUUUUUCUUUAUUAACUUGAAGAGUCUGGCUAAAGGUUUAUCAAUUUUCCUUAUCUUGUCAAAGAUUCAGCUCUUAGUUUCAUUGAUCUUUUGUGGGUUUUUUGUCUUGAUUUAAUUAAUUUUGCUGUUUGUUAUUUCCUUCCUUAUAUUAACUUUGGGCUUUAUUCUUUUUUCCCCCAUAAUUCUUUAGGUGUAAGUUUUGAUUGUUUAUUUGAGAUUUUUCUUGUUUCUUGAGGUAGGCAUGUAUUGCUAUAAAUUUCCCUCUUAGAACUGCUUUUGCUGUAUCCCAAAGUUUUGGACCAUUGUAUUUCCGUUUUUAUUUGUCUCCAUGUGUUUUUUUAUUUCCUCUGAUUUUUUCAUUGACCUAUUGGUUGUUAAGUAGCAUGUUGUUAAACCUCCAUGUGGUUGUGUGUUUUUCUAGUUCUUUUCUUGUGGUGGAUUUGUAGUUUCAUACUAUUGUGGUUGGAAAAGAUGCUUGGUAUUGCUUUAGUCUUUUAAAACUUAUUGAGACUUGUUUUGUGGCCGAAUGUGAUCUGUCCUGGAGAAUGUUCCAGGUGCACUUGAAAAGAAUGUAUGUAUUCUGUUGUCUUUGGAUGGAAUGUUCUGUAUCUCUCUAUUAAGACCUUCUGGUCUAAUGUAUCAUUCAAAGCUACUGUUUCCUUAUUGUCUGCCUGUAUGACCUAUCCAUUGAUGAAAAUGUGUUAAAAUCCCUUACUAUUCUUGUAUUCCUAUUAGUUUCUCCCUUUAUGUCUAUUAAUAUUUGC
This 1377-nucleotide long non-coding RNA is filed under the name Mustela putorius furo (domestic ferret). Its description in RNAcentral is "lncRNA (ENSMPUG00000031595.1)". Lineage: Eukaryota; Metazoa; Chordata; Mammalia; Carnivora; Mustelidae. The record is from RNAcentral.